RNAcentral lists this unclassified non-coding RNA (489 nucleotides) under Zea mays. Its description in RNAcentral is "misc RNA Zm00001eb024630". The record is from RNAcentral. Lineage: Eukaryota; Viridiplantae; Streptophyta; Magnoliopsida; Poales; Poaceae.
GCUUCAUUGUUAGCGAAGAAUAAUGGCGACCCUUCCUUUCCCGCCUGACCCUUCCCCUCCCCUGGACCUCUCCUCUACCCUCGACGCCUCUUCACCUACCUACACCAGCCCCACGUCGGUGAUCAUUCUGGUCCCGGCGGCCAAUCAUCUCUCUUCUUCCCCGGCGUCGGCGGGGCCCUCUGGGUGCGGUGGUCAUUCCAAGGCGGGCAUGGCGGGUGUUGGUGCUGUUCCGGUGGGCGCGGGCGUGGGUGCUGACCCGUGGGCGUGGGUGCGAUUCCGCAUCCGAGUCGGCUCUCCUAUAAGGAAGCGCUGGUGUCCUCACAACCCUUUGUUUCUCAUUUCGUGGGAGGGAGUGCUGGUGGCGGCUGGGAGACUGUCCAGAGUCGUUGUGGCCGCCGCUUGGCUCGCCGCCCUCCUCGGCCAGUGCCCAGACCCGUUCCGGUUGAUCUGCGGGGCAGAUGUUUCAACUGCUUCUCUGCUGAGCACCGG